RNAcentral lists this long non-coding RNA (701 nucleotides) under Panax ginseng (ginseng). RNAcentral describes it as "long non-coding RNA (PGIN_LNC018886)". The record is from RNAcentral. Lineage: Eukaryota; Viridiplantae; Streptophyta; Magnoliopsida; Apiales; Araliaceae.
GUCAACAAAUUAAGCAAACUAAAGAUCUUUUAGAGUCAAAUAGACAUAACAUUAAUAUAUGAAUGUUCAUACAUCCAAAAGUUACCCCACCUCCUAAUUUUUUAAUGAUAGAGUUCAAGAGAAUUAGAACUUAGAAUACAAAAAAAAUCAUAUCUACUCUUCAUAACAAUGGGAAAAAAUAGCCAGACAAGAUUCAAGGAUAUCGUGGCUGCCCAAUGUAGCUGAACCUAAUAUCUCGAAUCAGGGAGUGAUCCAAACUCAUUGAGUGAACUAAAAGAACUUAUUGACUCAGAUAGACAUUUCAUUUAUGUAGCCACAGAGUGAUUUUUACUACUAAAAAUAUUUUGAAAUCAAUCGUGUAAAAUAAAGCAUCAAAAGGGAAUGCCAAACCUGUAAACACGGACCAUACAAAAUUUAUGCACAACAGCCCAACAACCCCAAAACAGAAAAAGAUCACAGCCCAAACAUAAGAAAUUAUUUCAAGCUACAAGGCUGAACUCCACCACAAAUCCACAAAAGACUCAACUGAAUUCGAAUAUGAUUCAUUUAUCCCGAAAUAGGAGGCUCAAGAAUAAUGAACUAAUAUGCUCAGAACAUUAUAUCAAUGUUCCAUUUACUUAUCAGAUACACUUACAUGAGUUAAUACCCAAUUACUCAAAACUAAAAGUCAUACAACAUACCAUAUGUUUUACCAGUUCAUA